Molecule: ribosomal RNA, 482 nt
Filed under: uncultured bacterium
Lineage: Bacteria
Description: partial 16S ribosomal RNA
Rfam family: Bacterial small subunit ribosomal RNA
Source: RNAcentral
AUUGAACGCUGGCGGCAUGCCUUACACAUGCAAGUCGAACGGGAACAGGCCUUCGGAUGCUGACGAGUGGCGAACGGGAGAGGAAUACACCGGAACGUGCCCGAUCGUGGGCGAAAACGAGGCGAAAGCUUUGCUAAUACCGCACACGAACGACUAAUGAAAACGGGGGAUCUGCGGACCUCGCGCGGCCCGAGCGGCCGAUGGCAGGUUAGUUAGUUGGUGGGGUGAACGCUUACCAAGCCGACGAUCUGUAGCUGGUCUGAGAGGAUGAUCAGCCACACUGGGACUGAGACACGGCCCAGACUCCUACGGGAGGCAGCAGUGGGGAAUUUUGGACGAUGGGCGAAAGCCUGAUCCAGCCAUGCCGCGUGAAGGAUGACGGCCUUCGGGUUGUAAACUGCUUUUGUCCGGAACGAAAAGACUCUUUCUAAUAAAGAGGGGUCAUGACGGUACCGUAAGAAUAAGCCCCGGCUAACUACGUG